GAUGAAGAACGUAGCGAAAUGCGAUAAGUAGUGUGAAUUGCAGAAUUCAGUGAAUCAUCGAAUCUUUGAACGCACAUUGCGCCCUUUGGUAUUCCUUAGGGCAUGCCUGUUCGAGCGUCAUUUAAACCUUCAAGCUCAGCUUGGUGUUGGGUGACUGUCCGCUUCACCGCGGACUCGCCUCAAAAUUAUUGGCGGCCGGUACAUUGGCUCUCGAGCGCAGCAGAAACGCGUAACUCGAGGUCCUCGUGCUGGCUCCCAGAAGCUAUCUUCACAAUUUUGACCUCGGAUCAGGUAGGGAUACCCGCUGAACUUAAGCAUAUCAAUGAGCGGAGGA
RNAcentral lists this unclassified non-coding RNA (334 nucleotides) under soil metagenome. RNAcentral's name for it is "partial contains 5.8S ribosomal RNA, internal transcribed spacer 2, and large subunit ribosomal RNA". The stretch from base 1 to 120 matches the Rfam family "5.8S ribosomal RNA", at positions 35 to 154 of the family's 154-position model. The record is from RNAcentral.